Long non-coding RNA from Nematostella vectensis (starlet sea anemone), 972 nucleotides. RefSeq lists it as uncharacterized. The record is from RefSeq and is a predicted model, not a curated record. Lineage: Eukaryota; Metazoa; Cnidaria; Anthozoa; Actiniaria; Edwardsiidae. The transcript is spliced from 3 exons.
CAUUCCAACAUUCCAAGUUUGAGGAGUUCUCACACUUAGCUUAUAAAAAUGCCUGAAUAUUGGCGGUACGCAGCAAUUGGCGCAAUUGCCAUCGGGGGCGUUGCGGUCGGUUACGUUGGUUACACUUGUUGGCGUGGAAUUCAGAGAGAUAACCACGAAAGCGACGAUGUCGCGCAACAAGAGUGUCACACGUUCAACUUGAACAUGAAGUGAGCGAGAAUCUGGAGGAAGUUAACGUAGACAAUGAUCUAAAGAAGGUCAUUGUCAUAAAGUGCAUCCUAAACAAUGCCGAUACCAAGUCUGAUGCUUACAAUGAUAAAGUAACAAGAGAACUGAGAAACGAGUUAGAAAACUCCAACACACUUUCUGAUGGAUAAAAGUGACACGGACUUGUCGAGGCCGAAAAUACAUCCUUCGCAGCAGCCAGCGAGGCAAAGCCGUUCGCAUUCGAGAAUGCAGAUGUAACUCAGAAAGCUGAUAAGCCUGAUGGUUUUGCGGGUGAAAAGGUUAAGGACAAGGACGAGGAGUUUGAACGCAUCAUGGAAGCGCUCGCCUGCUGGGUGUUCUACCAAGGUAGGAGCGUGGAGGAGAUCAGGAAGGCUGAAGUUGAGGACCCCUGUGGCCAGUUGUGGUGGCCUUUAGAAAUAAAGUGCCCGAGGAUCACCCCCUCAGGAACAAGCAGUUUGCAGGGUAAAGCAGCGAAGUGCCAACUAAGAUCUCAUUUUGACUGGGUAAUUCCCUGAUAUUGACUUGAAACCUUUGAAGUUUUUGUUAAGAACAGAUAAUAGGAAUACUAUUAUAGUUGCCCAGAUUGGAAAAUCCCCUUGAAACACUUGCCUUGAAACACUUGCAUUUUGUUUGAAUAAUUAGAAGAGUACAACACAAAUCACUUUGUUUUGUAAAUCAAUGCCUUUGAAGUCAAAUUAUCACAGACGUAAUAAUAAAUGAUAAAAUAAUUAUGUUUUAAAAGAA